RNAcentral lists this ribosomal RNA (460 nucleotides) under uncultured bacterium. Its description in RNAcentral is "partial 16S ribosomal RNA". It matches the Rfam family "Bacterial small subunit ribosomal RNA", at positions 338 to 795 of the family's 1533-position model. The record is from RNAcentral.
CCUACGGGAGGCAGCAGUGAGGAAUAUUGGUCAAUGGGCGCGAGCCUGAACCAGCCAAGUAGCGUGAAGGAUGACUGCCCUACGGGUUGUAAACUUCUUUUAUAAAGGAAUAAAGUGAGGCACGUGUGCCGUUUUGUAUGUACCUUAUGAAUAAGGAUCGGCUAACUCCGUGCCAGCAGCCGCGGUAAUACGGAGGAUCCGAGCGUUAUCCGGAUGUAUUGGGUUUAAAGGGUGCGUAGGCGGCCUUUUAAGUCAGCGGUGAAAGUCUGUGGCUCAACCAUGGAAUUGCCGUUGAAACUGGGAGGCUUGAGUAUGUUUGAGGCAGGCGGAAUGCGUGGUGUAGCGGUGAAAUGCUUAGAUAUCACGCAGAACCCCGAUUGCGAAGGCAGCCUGCCAAGCCAUGACUGACGCUGAUGCACGAAAGCGUGGGGAUCAAACAGGAUUAGAUACCCUAGUAGUC